Molecule: ribosomal RNA, 253 nt
Filed under: uncultured Pseudomonas sp.
Lineage: Bacteria; Pseudomonadati; Pseudomonadota; Gammaproteobacteria; Pseudomonadales; Pseudomonadaceae
Description: partial 16S ribosomal RNA
Rfam family: Bacterial small subunit ribosomal RNA
Source: RNAcentral
CGGACGGGUGAGUAAUGCCUAGGAAUCUGCCUGGUAGUGGGGGACAACGUUUCGAAAGGAACGCUAAUACCGCAUACGUCCUACGGGAGAAAGCAGGGGACCUUCGGGCCUUGCGCUAUCAGAUGAGCCUAGGUGGAUUAGCUAGUUGGUGAGGUAAUGGCUCACCAAGGCGACGAUCCGUAACUGGUCUGAGAGGAUGAUCAGUCACACUGGAACUGAGACACGGUCCAGACUCCUACGGGAGGCAGCAGCC